This 1336-nucleotide ribosomal RNA is filed under the name Staphylococcus sp. Its description in RNAcentral is "bacterial SSU rRNA". It matches the Rfam family "Bacterial small subunit ribosomal RNA", at positions 38 to 1357 of the family's 1533-position model. Lineage: Bacteria; Bacillati; Bacillota; Bacilli; Caryophanales; Staphylococcaceae. The record is from RNAcentral.
CGCGGGGUGCUAUACAUGCAAGUCGAGCGAACAGACGAGGAGCUUGCUCCUCUGACGUUAGCGGCGGACGGGUGAGUAACACGUGGAUAACCUACCUAUAAGACUGGGAUAACUUCGGGAAACCGGAGCUAAUACCGGAUAAUAUAUUGAACCGCAUGGUUCAAUAGUGAAAGACGGUUUUGCUGUCACUUAUAGAUGGAUCCGCGCCGCAUUAGCUAGUUGGUAAGGUAACGGCUUACCAAGGCAACGAUGCGUAGCCGACCUGAGAGGGUGAUCGGCCACACUGGAACUGAGACACGGUCCAGACUCCUACGGGAGGCAGCAGUAGGGAAUCUUCCGCAAUGGGCGAAAGCCUGACGGAGCAACGCCGCGUGAGUGAUGAAGGUCUUCGGAUCGUAAAACUCUGUUAUUAGGGAAGAACAAAUGUGUAAGUAACUAUGCACGUCUUGACGGUACCUAAUCAGAAAGCCACGGCUAACUACGUGCCAGCAGCCGCGGUAAUACGUAGGUGGCAAGCGUUAUCCGGAAUUAUUGGGCGUAAAGCGCGCGUAGGCGGUUUUUUAAGUCUGAUGUGAAAGCCCACGGCUCAACCGUGGAGGGUCAUUGGAAACUGGAAAACUUGAGUGCAGAAGAGGAAAGUGGAAUUCCAUGUGUAGCGGUGAAAUGCGCAGAGAUAUGGAGGAACACCAGUGGCGAAGGCGACUUUCUGGUCUGUAACUGACGCUGAUGUGCGAAAGCGUGGGGAUCAAACAGGAUUAGAUACCCUGGUAGUCCACGCCGUAAACGAUGAGUGCUAAGUGUUAGGGGGUUUCCGCCCCUUAGUGCUGCAGCUAACGCAUUAAGCACUCCGCCUGGGGAGUACGACCGCAAGGUUGAAACUCAAAGGAAUUGACGGGGACCCGCACAAGCGGUGGAGCAUGUGGUUUAAUUCGAAGCAACGCGAAGAACCUUACCAAAUCUUGACAUCCUCUGACCCCUCUAGAGAUAGAGUUUUCCCCUUCGGGGGACAGAGUGACAGGUGGUGCAUGGUUGUCGUCAGCUCGUGUCGUGAGAUGUUGGGUUAAGUCCCGCAACGAGCGCAACCCUUAAGCUUAGUUGCCAUCAUUAAGUUGGGCACUCUAAGUUGACUGCCGGUGACAAACCGGAGGAAGGUGGGGAUGACGUCAAAUCAUCAUGCCCCUUAUGAUUUGGGCUACACACGUGCUACAAUGGACAAUACAAAGGGYAGCGAAACCGCGAGGUCAAGCAAAUCCCAUAAAGUUGUUCUCAGUUCGGAUUGUAGUCUGCAACUCGACUAUAUGAAGCUGGAAUCGCUAGUAAUCGUAGAUCAGCAUGU